RNAcentral lists this ribosomal RNA (84 nucleotides) under Vibrio cholerae. RNAcentral describes it as "partial 16S ribosomal RNA". It matches the Rfam family "Bacterial small subunit ribosomal RNA", at positions 1455 to 1533 of the family's 1533-position model. The record is from RNAcentral. Lineage: Bacteria; Pseudomonadati; Pseudomonadota; Gammaproteobacteria; Vibrionales; Vibrionaceae.
UGCCACUUUGUGGUUCAUGACUGGGGUGAAGUCGUAACAAGGUAGCGCUAGGGGAACCUGGCGCUGGAUCACCUCCUUACACGA